GAGAGGGGGAGAAGAUAGGGGGGAUGAGAGUGAAAAUGGAUGGAUUUUUUUCUCCUUUAAAACGGAGAAAAGAUGGAAGGGGUAAAAGACGAAUGGGGAUGUUCUGCUGCAACCCUGAGCCUUUCUGAAGACCAAGACUUGCCGGUGUGAUCCAAAUCGUAUUUAUA
Long non-coding RNA from Thalassophryne amazonica, 167 nucleotides. RefSeq lists it as uncharacterized. NCBI's taxonomy places the organism in Eukaryota, Metazoa, Chordata, Actinopteri, Batrachoidiformes, Batrachoididae. The record is from RefSeq and is a predicted model, not a curated record. The transcript has 4 exons.